CGUUAGUGAAGUGGUUAACACGCAAGAUUCUCAAUCUUGAAGCACGGGUUCGAACCCCGUAC
Molecule: transfer RNA, 62 nt
Filed under: human gut metagenome
Also listed under: 1 other name
Rfam family: tRNA
About the family: Transfer RNA (tRNA) molecules are approximately 80 nucleotides in length. Their secondary structure includes four short double-helical elements and three loops (D, anti-codon, and T loops).
Source: RNAcentral